This 428-nucleotide ribosomal RNA is filed under the name bacterium. RNAcentral's name for it is "partial 16S ribosomal RNA". It matches the Rfam family "Bacterial small subunit ribosomal RNA", at positions 355 to 775 of the family's 1533-position model. The record is from RNAcentral.
UAGGGAAUCUUCGGCAAUGGGGGCAACCCUGACCGAGCAACGCCGCGUGAGUGAAGAAGGUUUUCGGAUCGUAAAGCUCUGUUGUAAGAGAAGAACGUGUGUGAGAGUGGAAAGUUCACACAGUGACGGUAACUUACCAGAAAGGGACGGCUAACUACGUGCCAGCAGCCGCGGUAAUACGUAGGUCCCGAGCGUUGUCCGGAUUUAUUGGGCGUAAAGCGAGCGCAGGCGGUUUAAUAAGUCUGAAGUUAAAGGCAGUGGCUUAACCAUUGUUCGCUUUGGAAACUGUUGAACUUGGGUGCAGAAGGGGAGAGUGGAAUUCCAUGUGUAGCGGUGAAAUGCGUAGAUAUAUGGAGGAACACCGGUGGCGAAAGCGGCUCUCUGGUCUGUAACUGACGCUGAGGCUCGAAAGCGUGGGGAGCAAACAG